RNAcentral lists this transfer RNA (87 nucleotides) under Actinomycetota bacterium. RNAcentral's name for it is "tRNA-Ser". It matches the Rfam family "tRNA". From Rfam's summary of the family: Transfer RNA (tRNA) molecules are approximately 80 nucleotides in length. Their secondary structure includes four short double-helical elements and three loops (D, anti-codon, and T loops). Lineage: Bacteria; Bacillati; Actinomycetota. The record is from RNAcentral.
GGAGGGGUGCGAGAGCGGUUGAAUCGGGCAGUCUCGAAAACUGUUGUGCGUCUAGGCGUACCGUGGGUUCGAAUCCCACCCCCUCCG